UUUCAUUUGCGCCGAUUUUUUUUUCAUUUGCGCCGAUUUUUUUGCGCCGAUUUUUUUACAGGUAAAUUACAGGUGAAAAGAUAUAAGAAGAUGCGGUAUGAGUGCCAAUGAGACAACUCUCUAUCCCAGUCAUGUUAUAGUUGUUUAUUCUUUAGUUUUCUAUGUUGUGUUAUGUGUACUAUUGUUUGUCUGUUUGUCCUUUUCAU
RNAcentral lists this long non-coding RNA (206 nucleotides) under Mytilus galloprovincialis (Mediterranean mussel). The record is from RNAcentral. Lineage: Eukaryota; Metazoa; Mollusca; Bivalvia; Mytilida; Mytilidae.